AAGGAGGGGUGAACCGGCCCAGG
RNAcentral lists this non-coding RNA (23 nucleotides) under Gallus gallus (chicken). RNAcentral also lists the same sequence under 2 other names. The record is from RNAcentral. Lineage: Eukaryota; Metazoa; Chordata; Aves; Galliformes; Phasianidae.